CAAGUCGAACGAAGCACUGUAAACGGAGAUUCGUCGAAGUUUACUUUGACUUAGUGGCGGACGGGUGAGUAAUGUAUGAGCAACCUGCCUUUCAGUGGGGGACAACAGUUGGAAACGACUGCUAAUACCGCAUGAUGUCAAUUGGGGGCAUCCCCGAAUGACCAAAGGAUUUAUUCGCUGAAAGAUGGGCUCAUAUCUGAUUAGCUAGUUGGUGAGGUAACGGCUCACCAAGGCUGCGAUCAGUAGCCGGACUGAGAGGUUGAACGGCCACAUUGGGACUGAGAUACGGCCCAGACUCCUACGGGAGGCAGCAGUGGGGAAUAUUGGGCAAUGGGCGAAAGCCUGACCCAGCAACGCCGCGUGAAGGAAGAAGGUCUUCGGAUUGUAAACUUCUUUUAUGAGGGACGAAGGACGUGACGGUACCUCAUGAAUAAGCCACGGCUAACUACGUGCCAGCAGCCGCGGUAAUACGUAGGUGGCAAGCGUUAUCCGGAUUUACUGGGUGUAAAGGGCGCGUAGGCGGGGAUGCAAGUCAGAUGUGAAAUCUAUGGGCUUAACCCAUAAACUGCAUUUGAAACUGUAUCUCUUGAGUGCUGGAGAGGUAGACGGAAUUCCUUGUGUAGCGGUGAAAUGCGUAGAUAUAAGGAAGAACACCAGUGGCGAAGGCGGUCUACUGGACAGUAACUGACGCUGAGGCGCGAGAGCGUGGGGAGCAAACAGGAUUAGAUACCCUGGUAGUCCACGCUGUAAACGAUGAAUACUAGGUGUGGGGGGACUGACCCCUUCCGUGCCGCAGUUAACACAAUAAGUAUUCCACCUGGGGAGUACG
RNAcentral lists this ribosomal RNA (829 nucleotides) under uncultured bacterium. Its description in RNAcentral is "bacterial SSU rRNA". It matches the Rfam family "Bacterial small subunit ribosomal RNA", at positions 58 to 884 of the family's 1533-position model. The record is from RNAcentral.